Molecule: long non-coding RNA, 637 nt
Filed under: Mytilus galloprovincialis (Mediterranean mussel)
Lineage: Eukaryota; Metazoa; Mollusca; Bivalvia; Mytilida; Mytilidae
Source: RNAcentral
AAUUUUUAUGCCCCACCUACGAUAGUAGAGGGGCAUUAUGUUUUCUGGUCUGUGCGUCCGUUCGUCCGUCCGUUCGUCCGUCUGUUCGUUCGUCCGUCCGUCUGUUCGUUCGUCCGUCUGUCCCGCUUCAGGUUAAAGUUUUUGGUCAAGGUAGUUUUUGAUGAAGUUGAAGUUCAAUCAACUUGAAACUUAGUACACAUGUUCCUUAUGAUAUGAUCUUUCUAAUUUUAAAGCCAAAUUAAACUUUUGACCCCAAUUUCACGGUCCACUGAACAUAGAAAAUGAAAGUGCAUGUUUCAGGUUAAAGUUUUUGGUCAAGGUAGUUUUUAAUGAAGUUGAAGUCCAAUCAACUUGAAACUUAGUACACAUGUUCCUUAUGAUAUGAUCUUUCUAAUUUUAAAGCGAAAUUAAACUUUUGACCCCAAUUUCAUGGUCCACUGAACAUAGAAAAUGAAAGUGCAUGUUUCAGGUUAAAGUUUUUGGUCAAGGUAGUUUUUGAUGAAGUUGAAGUCCAAUCAACUUGAAACUUAGUACACAUGUUCUCUAUGAUAUUAUCUUUCUAAUUUUAAUGCCUAAUUAUAUUUUUUUUCCAAUUUCGUGGUCCAUUGAACAUGGAAAAUGAUAGUGCGAGUGGGGC